UACGGAGGGUGCAAGCGUUAUCCGGAUUUACUGGGCUUAAAGGGUGUGUAGGCGGGUCUUUUCGUCAGUGGUGAAAUCUCCGAGCUCAACUUGGAAACUGCCAUUGAUACUAUUGAUCUUGAAUUCUGUUGAGGUGGGCGGAAUAAGUCAUGUAGCGGUGAAAUGCAUAGAUAUGACUUAGAACACCAAUUGCGAAGGCAGCUCACUAAACAGAUAUUGACGCUGAGGCACGAAAGCGUGGGGAUCAAACAGG
Molecule: ribosomal RNA, 253 nt
Filed under: uncultured bacterium
Lineage: Bacteria
Description: partial 16S ribosomal RNA
Rfam family: Bacterial small subunit ribosomal RNA
Source: RNAcentral